UUAAUGAGCUUGAAAAGCAUUUGUUUUGAAAACAAAAGAUAGAAUUAAUAAUCUAUUAA
This 59-nucleotide transfer RNA is filed under the name Idiophlebotomus nicolegerae. RNAcentral's name for it is "tRNA-Ser". The record is from RNAcentral. Lineage: Eukaryota; Metazoa; Arthropoda; Insecta; Diptera; Psychodidae.